RNAcentral lists this ribosomal RNA (873 nucleotides) under Escherichia coli. RNAcentral describes it as "partial 23S ribosomal RNA". It matches the Rfam family "Bacterial large subunit ribosomal RNA", at positions 313 to 1191 of the family's 2925-position model. The record is from RNAcentral. Lineage: Bacteria; Pseudomonadati; Pseudomonadota; Gammaproteobacteria; Enterobacterales; Enterobacteriaceae.
UGAAUCAGUGUGUGUGUUAGUGGAAGCGUCUGGAAAGGCGUGCGAUACAGGGUGACAGCCCCGUACACAAAAAUGCACAUAUUGUGAGCUCGAUGAGUAGGGCGGGACACGUGGUAUCCUGUCUGAAUAUGGGGGGACCAUCCUCCAAGGCUAAAUACUCCUGACUGACCGAUAGUGAACCAGUACCGUGAGGGAAAGGCGAAAAGAACCCCGGCGAGGGGAGUGAAAAAGAACCUGAAACCGUGUACGUACAAGCAGUGGGAGCCUCUUAAUGGGGUGACUGCGUACCUUUUGUAUAAUGGGUCAGCGACUUAUAUUCUGUAGCAAGGUUAACCGAAUAGGGGAGCCGAAGGGAAACCGAGUCUUAACUGGGCGUUAAGUUGCAGGGUAUAGACCCGAAACCCGGUGAUCUAGCCAUGGGCAGGUUGAAGGUUGGGUAACACUAACUGGAGGACCGAACCGACUAAUGUUGAAAAAUUAGCGGAUGACUUGUGGCUGGGGGUGAAAGGCCAAUCAAACCGGGAGAUAGCUGGUUCUCCCCGAAAGCUAUUUAGGUAGCGCCUCGUGAAUUCAUCUCCGGGGGUAGAGCACUGUUUCGGCAAGGGGGUCAUCCCGACUUACCAACCCGAUGCAAACUGCGAAUACCGGAGAAUGUUAUCACGGGAGACACACGGCGGGUGCUAACGUCCGUCGUGAAGAGGGAAACAACCCAGACCGCCAGCUAAGGUCCCAAAGUCAUGGUUAAGUGGGAAACGAUGUGGGAAGGCCCAGACAGCCAGGAUGUUGGCUUAGAAGCAGCCAUCAUUUAAAGAAAGCGUAAUAGCUCACUGGUCGAGUCGGCCUGCGCGGAAGAUGUAACGGGGCUAAACCAUG